CCCACAGGAUGGGUGGCCAAACAGAGCUUGCCUGUCCCCUGCCUAUGGCUGUGUGUGACCUGGUGCUGAUAGCAGACCUCCUGCCUGCCUGCUCCCCUGUCCCUUCCCAUCUGCCUCCCAUCCCAGCAGGGAGGCUGUCUCAGAGACCAGCUGCAGAACACAACAUCUCCUGGCAAUGUUUUUGCUCCCUAGUGACUCACUGCAUUUUGCACAUGAUGGUAUGGGAUAAUCUGUCACCUCAAAUCCUACUAGUUCUGCACGAUGGCUUUUAUGCAAUCAGUGGGUACUUUUACCCUCACUCUUCCAAACAUGAAUGUAAGGUCCAGCUUGACUCCCCCAUACGUACACUUUGUUUUUAAAGAAAGCAGCUGUGUUGUCCUUCAUGAAAACAGCUCGUAAUUUAGCAUUACUGCAUUAUAUCCCCUUGGCAACGCUUUCUGUCUUCAGGACAUAUAUUUAUCACAGACAUCACUGUAUCUCUAUGGUGCUUUAGUUUUCCAUCAAGGGAAGCUAAAAGAGCAUUUCAUUCCAUAAAGCUUUGAUUGAUCUUUUCCGCAACGUUCCUCUGGUACUUCUCGCAGUGCCUCUUUCUGCCAAACAGGAUUUUUUCCUCCUUUCUUGAUCAUGCGCAAGUCUGAGCUAAUCUCCACAGUGCGAGCUUGAUCUGCUGUCUACCAGUGCCCAUUUUUGUGCCAGGCAGAACAACUUCUUCAGUCAGCUCUUCAGCCCUGAUGAGCUCCAGCAGCCAGUGGCUCUUAGCCUCACCCAGAAGCUCCCAAGGAUGCUCCUGCUGGUGCCCACUCCUGAGAUUCCUAGCUUAGUCUUCUGAUUAGGGGAUACAGUCUGCUGCCAUGCUUCCCAAACCUAUUUGAUCAGCUCACGCAGCCUGAGAAAAAGCAAGCAAAGAAGAAGUAGGAAUGCAAAUUUUUAGAGAAAUCUUUCAAAUUCCACAGUAAUUGGCAAGGGCUGCUCUCACCUUGAGGAAGGACAGACUGUGCACCCAGUUCUGUGCUAAUGGGAAGUUUAAACUUCGUGCAUCACAACUUCAUGCAGCAUGCUUCUCCUCUGCGCAGCGGGAGCUCCAGCAGCUGGGGAUGCAGGACGCGGGGCUGGCAGCAGCUAUUUCUGCUGCCGCUUCCUGUCCUUGACCCAGCGAUACAUUGUGAACUUCUCCCCAGCUGAUGGAUCCUUCAGUGUCUCUGUCUGAGUCACAACGUUUAUUCCUUGCUAUCUGCAGUUGAAGAAUUAAUACACAGAGCCAGCACAUUUAAGCAUGAGCAUAUGGAUUCUGAAGAUGAGUAUAAGCAAAGGUCCUGAUUUUUUAAAAGCACUGUGCAGGAUGUUCAUUAUAGUGGUGGCUCAGUGGCUGAAGGCAUGCUGCACACUAAUUUCUUUCCAUGCAGAGUUACAAAAUCGGCUAGCUGAUUAAACAGUGGUCAACAUCAAUUCAGAGAUUUUAUUAAGCAUUCAUGUCUUUUUUUCUAACUAAAGGCCUUAGGAUGGAAUAGACAUGAAAUUAAUAGAAGAAAUAAAUUGCAAUACUUUACUUAUCAGUGUUUAUUUUUGCCAAAGCUUUGGGUUUUAGUUGUAGCUGAUGACCCUGUUUAAUUCUCAGGUAGUCAAGGUGGAAGGGCCACUUAAUUGAACCUCCACCAACACAGGGAGAAAUUUGGAAUAUGAGGCUCUUCUGAAAGCUCUACUUUUACAAAUUAAGUGUGGGGUUUUGUGUGUAAGAUUUUAUUAUGCCAGCAAGACAGGAACCAGUAAAUUGUGUCCAAAAAGGAUAUUAAUGUAAUAUUCUAAGGUUAACUGAACCCAAAUUUCUCUAGGAGCAAAAUGGUUCCUAUGAGGAAAUGGCCAGGUAAAAGAUAUGUAGUGAAAGACUUAAAAUUUUAGAAGAUUGUAACAUUUUUCAUGGUUGUAGAGAACAAAAAGGGAGUUCUGCACCAUUAUUUGUUGUGUUGUAGAGGGUUGUACUGUUAGUUCAAAUUUAAUCCCGAACUGCGUUCAGCUAUAUACGGGUAGUGACCACAGAGUUAUAAGCCAUCAGAGCAGCAAAAGAUAGGAGAGAAAUAAACUACUGACUGCAAUUGCCCCUUUGUAAAAGAACAGGAAUGUUGAGAGGGGAGGGAAGGAGUUUCCUUGUCUCUGGUGGUUUAUUAUUCUCUGGGAACAGGUAAACCAACACUGGCUCAUGAAGAUACUUUAGAAUAGGAAAUGUUUUGCCUUUGAAAUGCGCGAGAUUACAAGUCAUUUCAAAUAGUGUUCAUGGCGAAGAUACCCCUGGGACCACCUUACAAGAGCUUUAUUUCUUGCCUGCAAAUUAGUCAGUUCAAAACACUUCACCUCUCAUCUCUGCCUUCAGCUCUUAAUAUCACACACGGUAUUUGUAAAAUGGAGGAUAAGAAUGAAAAGACCCUGAAUACAAAAGUGCAAUUAAAAAAAAUAAAAAUAGAAGACUGUAAAGGCGAGAACAUGUCUCAUUUCAGAGGACAAGAAUGAAAUUUUGUUGCUUUUUUGGAGGCAUUUCAAUAAGCUUUCCUUUUUUAUUUGCAGCAGGGUCUCAUUGAAACAGCGAUGUUUUCCAAGUGGCAGACAGACAAUAGCAUCUAAAUUAUUUUUAAGAAAGCACUCAUAGCAAUAGAGCACCCAUUACUACUAAAUCCAUCUUAGAGGAGAAGGGUGGAGGAAAAGGAAAGGUCAAUAAAUGUAUCGUGUUCUUUGUGUAAUGCUUAACUGAUAUUUUCCAACUCCUUUAGCCGGCUUUUAUUUUAUUUUUUUUAGGAAUCCUUGUAAAAUUCAGGAAAGGAUUUAAGGUUAUCAUCUGUCUCUCCCUAACUUCUGACAUCUCUUUAUAACAAGAAAGAGUCACAGCCAACUGUAACAGGAGGGCAACACAAUGAAUCCUGGUGCAGAAGAAGCCGUGGAUGCCUCAGUUAUGCUCAGUUAUGCCUGGUUUAUUACCGAUGAAAGUAAUGGGGUGGAGUUGCAGACGCUGGUGAAGGAAAAGCAGCUACAGUGCAAUGUUUGCAAAGCAAGCUUUCUCUAGAAGGAAUAUGUACAUGCAGCGGCAGCACUUGGGGUAUGAAGAGCUACUUUGAAAGCAGAAGCAGUUGCCAGUGUUUGAGGUGUGGAUGGCAAGUGAGAAAAUCAGCUGUUCCUGCAGAGGUGCCCCCAGCAACAGCAGCUUCUGAGAAAUCCUGCUUUUGUGUCCUUAAUGAGAACACAGCCUGGAAUAACUGAGUGCAAGCUCAGUUUGCAGGAAGCAUUUCAGACCAACAUCCAUUGCCUGAGGAGGUUUCCAGGGGCCAAGCAGAGGCAAUCAGCAAUGUAAACAAUUCAAGGUAAAAAAAGGAGCCAUAAACACAGAGCCAUAAAUAGAGCCUGUGCAGGUCCAUGCUGUACUGGUCUGUGAAGGUAUGCUCUUUCUCUUUCAAACAGUGGUGCCUGGGGUUGUCAGGCAGUGGUUGGGUCCUUCACCCUCAGCCUCUUACUGUGCUUAUUUUGCCUUCCAGCUCCUCCUCUUAACAUCUCCGGUCUAUUUCAAAUACUGUACUCAGAGCCUUCCUGUUGGCAAAGGGGAACAUACUGCACAUAUGGAUUAAAUAAUUUAUUGUUAAUCUAAGGCUUUCAACAGUCUAAUAGUAAAAAUUACCAAAUUCAUACAGGAAGAGGUCAUAAAAUAGAGUUAAAAUUGUUAGACAAAAUUUCCCUUUUCUCUAGUGUUGUGCUUCCUCCUCUUAAGACCCCUUCCUGCCUUUGGGUCUUAAGAUUGAUGUUUUGGUAUUUCUUAAAAGGAAUGGGGGAGUAUGGUGAGUCAUCACCAGGAGGAGCAUGAUAUUCAGGGGUCCGGGGGAUGUCUUGUUUCCUCAGUCUGGUGUAUUCUUGUAUCUUAUGUAUUUUCUUAACACUAGAAGCUCACUGUGAUUGAAUGACUGUGAUCUGCAUCCUCUGUGUUGGCACUCUUGUUUCCAUGACUUGCUGUAGAGCCAUAGGCAGUUUACUCCGCAAGGAAAAGCCACUUGUUUUUACUAUAAACCAAAGUUAAAUUGAAACAAAUCAAGUUGCCUGUGCCUCACAGCUACGUGCAGCCAAAAGAAGUUAAAAUCUACUUAGGCCAUGGCAGAAUUGCUGAGGCCCUGUACAUGUCAAUGUAAAGCAGGUUGCUGUUUACCUAACAUGGCAAAAUCAGGUUUUCUAGGCUAGAAAGUCUCCUUGGAUGGUGCGUGAAUUGCAGAGCUGAGCAAUGAUUUGUAAGCCCUCUUAUGACUGCAGAAUUGCAACUGACGAGCAGAUCUUGGGAAUACUCGCAGUUUCGUGUCUGCUCCUUUAUCACAGAAAUCCAUACAGGACUAACUGACCUGUAUUGUCUCAUAGCCAUUGGGAGGCCAGAUUACAAAAGAUGCAUUAGAUUUUCAUUGCCUGCAUUAUUUGCACAGUCAGCAGAAAUACUGUGAUUAUUAAGAUAAGAGCUGUAGGUUUUGGAGCUAGAUUAAAAAUUCCUUUAGCUGUUGGAGACUGUAAUGCAGUAAUGCUACAUUGUGACAGAAAGUACAGCAGUACUAGCAGAGUAGCACAAUUCUAGGAUGCAGCAAAUGAGAAAGUGCUCAAAUGUAGCAGCCGUGGAUCCAGAAUUAAAGGAAGAAAAUAAAUGACCUCUAGUAGGCGGGGAUCUCCAACAAGAUACCUGUGCCUCCACUGCCAACCCUUAGAUGAGGUCUGGGAAGGAGUGGAUUUCUUCUGGUCACUCAGGUACAUUGCAUGCACCUAAGCUGCCCUGGGUUGGCCCUGCCUUCCCACCCGAUGCUUAAUCGCUGGUUCAAGCCCUGACUUCGCAUUUCUGCUACAGAGAAUCAUAGAAUCAUAGAAUAGCCUGGGCUGAAAAGGGCAACCAUGAUCAUCCAGUUUCAACCUCUCUGCUAUGUGCAGGGUCACCAACCACUAGACCAGGCUGCCCAAAGCCACAUCCAGCCUGGCCUUGAAUGCCUUUAGGGAUGGGGAGAGACCAUAGUAUAAUCUAUGAGGUUAUAGGAUAAUUAAAAUCAUACAUUUCAAUCUAAGAUAGAAACUUCACAUACCACACACACAGAGGAAUGUUUGUGAGGUAGUCCACAAUUUCUGGAAACACAGCUAGAUCCCACAUAUAUGAUUAUAGAUUGCUUAGAAACAUAAGGAGAAAUUCCACAAUCAUAUAUAGUUAACUUUCAAGCUAAGUGAUCAUGUGAAGACUGGAAACUAAUAUCUUCACAUACACAUUGCAUAUUUUAAUAUUAUUUUCUGGCAUUCCUUUGAAAGCCUCCCUGGAAUAGUCCAUUUUCUGUGAUCAUUUGUAUUCACAGAUGCACAUUUUUAUUACAAGAAACACUCAUUUUAUAUAUCUCCAAAAUUAUAUGAUCAACUUCUUGGUGACAAAAAGACCUUUUCCAGCCACUUGGUACAUGAUUAUGUAGCUUAUGUAUAUGUAGUGGUUCCAUCAUGUGCUAAAUUCAGGAUGUUUUAAAAGAUUUCAAAUACAGUAUUACACAAAUUCUGAGUUUAUUUAAAACUGAUUUUUCCAUGACAAAAAUGUUUAUACCUUGUUGAACCAUCAUUGCUUUUAUGUUCUUUAAAUACCUGCCCUUGUGCACCUCUGAGAAAAAUCUGGCUCUGACUCCUCUAUAGCUUCAUAUGAAGUAUUUUUAGUCUGCAAUAAAUCCCUGCCAUCCCCUUGGCCUUUUCAGGGCUGAGGAAUCGCAGCUCCCUCAGCCUCUCCUGGCGCGCUGCCUGCUGCAGCCUGCGCUGCUCUUAGUGCCGUAUGGCAGUGUCUGUCUCAUACUGUAGGAGAUACCAUAAUUAAAUUCGUAAUUUUCAUUUAUGGCUUCUACUUUUGUUCACAUACUUCUUGACAGUGGAAUGCUUUUAACUUGUUCUGCAGCUGUACUCUCUUCUCAAGUGUUAUGCUGUGUCAGUUUGGUUGGAUGUGCUCCUGUUUCAGCUUUAAGUUUCCCUUCUGCAAAGUCCAAAUUUCUGCUUGCUCUGCCUGUUCUACAUUUACCUCUCUUGCUGCUAACCAGCCCAUGCUUCAGCACAUUAUAGGCUUGCCAAGAGAAGAAUUUAGACUUUGUUUUCUUCUAAUUUUAGAAAAGGUUGCUUUGUUGCCUGGAUAGUUCUGCAAGAAGCUGGAUCCCAAUGGUGUGUUCAUCACUGGCUGUAGAUUAGACAAGUUUACAGAGGAGAGCAUUUCCAAAGAAGAUCUGAAGAUUAGAAGAGCAGCAGAGCUCGUCUGAGUUUGCACAAGUCUGGCAGCUUCUGGCUCUUCAGCGUGCAGACAUGGAAGGUGCCUGAGUUUCCCCUGCAGCCAGUGAGAACAGAGGAUAGUCAUAUUUGGCAGAAACUAUUCACCCUUUUGCAGGAUUUGGCUCUUGAAGAACCCCACACUAUUAUGAAAAUCUUUUUCUCUCUUCUCCCCAUUUCCAAUUCAGGAACUUAAAAUGAUUGCAUUAGAAUUAGAAACAUUACAAAGAAAUCAGUCUAAAAAUCAUUCUAGCAAAGGCAGUGAAGGUGCAAUUGCAGGUGUCAUGGAAUUUAGCAUGAACGAUGGUGUUUCCAAAUUCGUUUCUGAAAUGUUUGAAAAGACUGUGUAAAGAGGGGAAGCAAGCAAGCCAGCAGGCAGUGUUUUUCCCCUCUGUGGUUUUUGUGGACUAAGAAUAGAGGGGACAUGUAGCAAGCAUCUUGCUAUUAAAUUUGCCUAUGACAAACAGUGCAGCUGCACAUAGUGUGCAAAAACAUCUGUAGACUCAUGACACAUGCAGAAUCCCCCACACUAAGAACGUGACAUUAUACUGAAAACAAUUCUGUUGUAAAAGCAAUAUAAAUCCAUUUUAUGUAGACUUUCUCCACCUUCUCCUCCCCUUCUCUUUUAAAUUAUGUUAACUGAAGAAUUCUGUCACUCCUACAUGACAUUAGUAAAAAUCACAAUGUAAAAGUGACUAAACAUUUCAAAAUUGUCCCUUUUUUCAUUAGCAGCUAGAAUGCAGGUAUGCCUUUUCUGGAGGAAAAGAAAGUUUAAGAAAGAAUAACCAGCAGCAGAAAUACAUUAGACACCAGAUCCUACUCGAAGUGGAUCUUGACAGGGUUUGGCAGCUGCAAUUUAACUCUUCAGAAAUCAAGGGGUGAUUUCCUGUGUCUCUUGUGCAGUUGUUCAGUUCUAAGUGAGCAGUGGGAUUGCUUUACUUUGCUGAUAUAAAUGCUUGCACAAAAUGCAGCAGUAGGGAAAAAUAUGUCUAAAAUGUGUAGGUUUCUAAGAUAAAGGGAAAUUCCCUACCUGGGAUUUUUUUGAGUUCCCAUAGCUUCUCCUACAAAUAAUGAAUGCAGUUAUUGUUGAAUUCUAUAGAAGCUUGACUAAGCUUCACACCGCCCUAAUGACUCAUAGAAUGGCUUAGGUUGGUAGGGACCUUAAAGAUCACCUAGGUCCAAACCCUUCCCUCUCCAAUACUUUCUUUGCAAUCUUUAGACUUACUAAAGUAAAAAACCUUAAAAUGUCAACACAAACACUAGUUUUUGUUGCAAGCCCGAUGUUGUCUAAAAGUUUUGCGAUUGUAGCAUCAUCAGAAGGCAGACCUAUGCAUGCUGUUAGUAUCUGGAUCAUCGUUAACUUGUCUCUUUGGAAACACCUCACUUACAGUAAGAACAGUUCAUAAUAACUACCUGAACCUCCAAGAACAUUUCCCUAUGCUUUAUGUAGACUGCAAAGUGAGCCUGGAGCUGGAGGAGUCAUCCAGCUGGGUCGUAAUUUUCAGCUCUCUGCUCAUUAAAUUCCUGCAACCUAACGGCAAAACCAUAAGCCUUGAGAGAGAGAUUGCCAUCAUGUUAUUGAUAGCAUACAUUUUGAGCAUACUGACUUUCUGUAUUCUUUGGUUGAGUACUUGGAACUCAGUUUCCUUUCCUAGGUGAAGAAAGGCUUGUUUUUCUAUUUCAGAGAGAUACAGAGCACAAAUGAGAAUGUUUCUAAAGCACUCUGAAGAUGGAAAAGGUAUGCAAGUAUAACUGAUGUCACCUGACAACAUUUGUUUACCGGUAGGGGCAUAUUUAUCUCUUAGUUAAAUUAGAUUUGAUUCCUUAUUUAAUAAUGCAAUGAUUUUUAACGUUCGCUUCCUGGUUUGCAUGUUCAGCAACUGUUUAUACAAGAUACAUGAUGAUGUACAUCACCAUAGAAGGAAGGAACAUCGCACCUCCUGUAAAUCAGGAGUUGGGAAAUGCCCUCUUUUUAUGCCCUGUUUUGUGUCCCCACCUUUCAUGCAGAAAAGAAAUACACGUUCAGUAGUGAGUUGUGACUGCAGUCAGUUAUGGCCUCUCCAUGCUGGCAAUGACUGCCUGUUGUCUACCCUGUGUGCCUGAACAUCACUGCUGUAGUCCUUCUUUUUUCGAUGCCCAUGCAUUAGUUGGUCUCUGAGGUAUAUGACACAGUGGUUGCAAACAGCUCAAUAUAGUAAUGAACUCUGGCUAAUAAUGAAAGCAGCGAUAAAGUUUUUAAAAAAUUAGCACUCUAAGGAACCGUGGGAAAAUGUAACAAAGCUAUUCUUAUACAAUGUAUAAAGCAGAGCGCUUCAAUUCCAGUUUUUCAGCUUUUACUUUUAAAUAAAUUGAACUUUUAAAUAAAUUGAAAAGUUUUAUGAUGA
This is a non-coding RNA of Coturnix japonica (Japanese quail), 8657 nucleotides long. The record is from RefSeq and is a predicted model, not a curated record. NCBI's taxonomy places the organism in Eukaryota, Metazoa, Chordata, Aves, Galliformes, Phasianidae.